RNAcentral lists this transfer RNA (83 nucleotides) under Lepisosteus oculatus (spotted gar). It matches the Rfam family "tRNA". Rfam says of the family: Transfer RNA (tRNA) molecules are approximately 80 nucleotides in length. Their secondary structure includes four short double-helical elements and three loops (D, anti-codon, and T loops). The record is from Rfam by way of RNAcentral. Lineage: Eukaryota; Metazoa; Chordata; Actinopteri; Semionotiformes; Lepisosteidae.
GCCAGGGUGACCGAGUGGUUAAAGUGUUGGGUUUAAAAUCCGUUGGACAAGGGUCUGCGUGGGUUCAAACCCUGUUCCUAGUA